Molecule: ribosomal RNA, 2890 nt
Filed under: Indolivaga alginatilytica
Lineage: Bacteria; Pseudomonadati; Bacteroidota; Bacteroidia; Bacteroidales; Dysgonomonadaceae
Description: bacterial LSU rRNA
Rfam family: Bacterial large subunit ribosomal RNA
Source: RNAcentral
GAAGAAAAAAGUAAAUAAGGGCACAUGGGGGAUGCCUAGGCUCUCGAAGGCGACGAAGGACGUGAUAAGCUGCGAAAAGUUACGGGGAGGAGCAAAUAUCCUUUGAUCCGUAAAUAUCCGAAUGGGGCAACCCGUCAGAAGAAGAUUCUGUCAUCUGGUCUAACCAGAAGCAAACGUGGGGAACUGAAACAUCUAAGUACCCAUAGGAAAAGAAAACAAAAGUGAUUCCCAGAGUAGUGGCGAGCGAAAUGGGAUUAGCCCAAACCAAUAAUGUUUCGGCAUUAUUGGGGUUGUAGGACUGCGCUGUGGCAAGAAGUUAGAGUAGUAGAACGAUUUGGAAAGAUCGAUCACAGAGGGUGAUAAUCCCGUAUACGAAACCCUAACCAAGCCUAGCAGACUCCUGAGUAGUGCGGGACACGAGAAAUCCUGUAUGAAUCCACCGGGACCAUCCGGUAAGGCUAAAUACUUCCGAGAGACCGAUAGUGAACCAGUACCGUGAGGGAAAGGUGAAAAGAACCUCGAACAGAGGAGUGAAAUAGACCCUGAAACCAUGUGCCUACAAGCGGUCGGAGCCAUUAAUGGUGACGGCGUGCCUUUUGCAUAAUGAACCUACGAGUUACUCUCAUUGGCAAGGUUAAGUACCAGUAGGUACGCAGCCGAAGCGAAAGCAAGUCUUAACAGGGCGCUUAGUCAAUGGGAGUAGACGCGAAACCAAGUGAUCUACCCUUGAGCAGGUUGAAGGUUGGGUAACACCAAUUGGAGGACCGAACCGGUAAGCGUUGAAAAGCUUUCGGAUGACUUGAGGGUAGGGGUGAAAGGCUAAUCAAACUUGGAGAUAGCUCGUACUCCCCGAAAUGCAUUUAGGUGCAGCCUCGGCUUAUAACUUGUGUCAGGUAGAGCUACUGAUUGGAUGCGAGGGCUUCACCGCCUAUCAAGUCCAGAUAAACUCCGAAUGGGCACAAGAUUUUACCGGGAGUGAGGGCAUGGGUGCUAAGGUCCAUGUCCGAGAGGGAAAGAACCCAGACCAUCAGCUAAGGUCCCCAAAUACAUGUUAAGUUGAAUUAACGAAGUGUUGCUACAAAGACAGCUAGGAUGUUGGCUUGGAAGCAGCCAUUCAUUUAAAGAGUGCGUAACAGCUCACUAGUCGAGUGGCGAUGCGUGGAUAAUAAUCGGGCAUCAAACAUGUUACCGAAGCUAUGGGAUAAAAUAUUAUCGGUAGGGGAGCAUUCUGUUCAGCGUAGAAGGCGUAGCGUAAGCUACUCUGGAGCGGACAGAAAAGCAAAUGUAGGUAUGAGUAACGAUAAAGGAGGUGAGAAACCUCCUCGCCGAAAGACUAAGGUUUCCUGAUCAACGCUAAUCGGAUCAGGGUCAGUCGGGACCUAAGGAUAAGCCGAAGGGCGAUUCCGAUGGACGAAACGGUUAACAUUCCGUUACUACUAUAAAGAGUGAUGUGGGGACGCAGAAGUGAAACUACUGCCAUCUGACGGAAUAGAUGGUUAAAGAGUGUAGGCGUUGAUUCCGGUAGGCAAAUCCGCCGGGAGAGUCGAACUUGAAAGUAUGAUGAGCCCUUGUGGCAAGUCAAUAAUGUAGGUAAACACACUGCCAAGAAAAACCGCUAAACGCUAAUCUUUAUCGUACCCGUACUAAAACGGACACACGUAGUUGGGUUGAGUAUACUAAGGCGCUCGAGUGAUUCACAGUUAAGGAAUUAGGCAAAAUGACCCUGUAACUUCGGGAGAAAGGGUACCUAUCAGUGAUGGUAGGUCGCAGAGAAUAGGUCCAGGCAACUGUUUAACAAAAACACAUGGCUAUGCAAAUUAGAAAUAAGAAGUAUAUAGCCUGACACCUGCCCGGUGCUGGAAGGUUAAGAGGAGAAGUCAUCAGCAAUGAGAAGCUUUGAAUUGAAGCCCCAGUAAACGGCGGCCGUAACUAUAACGGUCCUAAGGUAGCGAAAUUCCUUGUCGGGUAAGUUCCGACCUGCACGAAUGGUGUAAUGAUCUGGACACUGUCUCAACUGUGAGCUCGGUGAAAUUGUAGUAUCGGUGAAGAUGCCGAUUACCCGCGAUGGGACGAAAAGACCCCGUGAACCUUUACUAUAGCUUUACAUUGAAUUUGGGCACUUGAUGUGUAGGAUAGGCCGGAGACUAUGAAGCAGGUACGCUAGUAUUUGUGGAGUCACCCUUGAAAUACGGCCCUUUAAUUGUUUGAAUUCUAACUCGUAGAUACGAGGACACUGUAUGGUGGGUAGUUUGACUGGGGUGGUCGCCUCCAAAAGAGUAACGGAGGCUUCUAAAGGUGCGCUCAGAACGAUUGGUAACCGUUCGUAGAGUGUAAUGGCAUAAGCGCGCUUGACUGAGAGACCGACAAGUCGAUCAGGUAGGAAACUAGAGCAUAGUGAUCCGGUGGUUUCAGUAUGGAAUGGCCAUCGCUCAAAGGAUAAAAGGUACUCCGGGGAUAACAGGCUGAUCAUUCCCAAGAGCUCAUAUCGACGGAAUGGUUUGGCACCUCGAUGUCGGCUCGUCACAUCCUGGGGCUGGAGAAGGUCCCAAGGGUUGGGCUGUUCGCCCAUUAAAGUGGCACGCGAGCUGGGUUCAGAACGUCGUGAGACAGUUCGGUCUCUAUCUAUCGUGGGCGUAGGAUAUUUGCGGGGAUCUGACACUAGUACGAGAGGACCGUGUUGGACAGACCCCUGGUUUACCGGUUGUUCCGCCAGGAGCAUCGCCGGGUAGCUAAGUCUGGAUUGGAUAAGUGCUGAAAGCAUCUAAGUACGAAGCCAGCCUCAAGAUAAGAUAUCCUUAUAAGGGUCGUCGCAGACUACGACGUUGAUAGGCUACAGGUGUAAAGGCAGUAAUGUCAUAGCCGAGUAGUACUAAUUGCCCGAAACUUUUUU